This 447-nucleotide ribosomal RNA is filed under the name uncultured bacterium. RNAcentral describes it as "bacterial SSU rRNA". It matches the Rfam family "Bacterial small subunit ribosomal RNA", at positions 328 to 792 of the family's 1533-position model. The record is from RNAcentral.
UGGCCAGACUCCUACGGGAGGCAGCAGUGGGGAAUAUUGCACAAUGGGGGAAACCCUGAUGCAGCGACGCCGCGUGAAGGAAGAAGUAUUUCGGUAUGUAAACUUCUAUCAGCAGGGAAGAAAAUGACGGUACCUGACUAAGAAGCCCCGGCUAACUACGUGCCAGCAGCCGCGGUAAUACGUAGGGGGCAAGCGUUAUCCGGAUUUACUGGGUGUAAAGGGAGCGUAGGCGGUGCAGCAAGUCAGAAGUGAAAGCCCGGGGCUCAACCCUGGGACUGCUCUGGAAACUGUAAAGCUGGAGUGCGGGAGGGGCAGGCGGAAUUCCUGGUGUAGCGGUGAAAUGCGUAGAUAUCAGGAGGAACACCGGCGGCGAAGGCGGCCUGCUGGACCGUAACUGACGUUGAGGCUCGAAAGCGUGGGGAGCAAACAGGAUUAGAUACCCUAGUA